GUGAAUCAUCGAAUCUUUGAACGCAAAUUGCGCUUCCUGGUAUCCCGGGAAGUAUGCCUGUUUGAGGGUCAGUAUUAAUAAAGAAUCGGUUAGGUAGCAAAUUUGGAUGUUUCCGGAGUUUGGGCAUAUUUAAACUUUUUUGUUUAAGGGGCUUAAAAUUGAUCUUUUUUGCGCAUUUUUAGAUGUAUAUAAUUUUUUUUUUAUUCGUUUCUUCUUACUGCCAACUUCUUAUUUGAUACGAUCACAUCGUGUGGC
RNAcentral lists this unclassified non-coding RNA (255 nucleotides) under Glomerales sp. Its description in RNAcentral is "partial contains 5.8S ribosomal RNA and internal transcribed spacer 2". The stretch from base 1 to 71 matches the Rfam family "5.8S ribosomal RNA", at positions 84 to 154 of the family's 154-position model. Lineage: Eukaryota; Fungi; Glomeromycota; Glomeromycetes; Glomerales; Glomeraceae. The record is from RNAcentral.